UAUUGCAACGUUACGUCGGC
This 20-nucleotide unclassified non-coding RNA is filed under the name Chlamydomonas reinhardtii. RNAcentral's name for it is "small RNA Cre_2418". Lineage: Eukaryota; Viridiplantae; Chlorophyta; Chlorophyceae; Chlamydomonadales; Chlamydomonadaceae. The record is from RNAcentral.